GCCUUUGUGGAUCAUGGGGAUCACCCCAUUUUCAUGCUGUUGUUUAUUUUCAUGCAAGAGGGGAAGGAGGUUCGAUUCCUCCCGAAGGCA
Non-coding RNA from Mycena crocata, 90 nucleotides. The record is from the annotation of a GenBank genome assembly. NCBI's taxonomy places the organism in Eukaryota, Fungi, Basidiomycota, Agaricomycetes, Agaricales, Mycenaceae.